GGGCCCGUAGUGAAAUGGACUAUCACACACAGCCACUAACUGUGCAAUCCGAGUUCGAAUCUCGGCGGGCCUGCCA
Molecule: transfer RNA, 76 nt
Filed under: Candidatus Woykebacteria bacterium RBG_13_40_7b
Lineage: Bacteria; Candidatus Woykeibacteriota
Description: tRNA-Ser
Rfam family: tRNA
About the family: Transfer RNA (tRNA) molecules are approximately 80 nucleotides in length. Their secondary structure includes four short double-helical elements and three loops (D, anti-codon, and T loops).
Source: RNAcentral